UCUCCGUUGGUGAACCAGCGGAGGGAUCAUUACCGAGUUACUCUACUCCCAAACCCCUGUGAACUUAUACCUUUACUGUUGCUUCGGCGGGUUAACGCCCCGGAAGGCCCGCGAGGGCCGCCGGAACCAGGCGCCCGCCGGGGGACCCAAACUCUUGUAUCUUUUUUAUAGCAUGUCUGAGUGGAAUCAUAAACAAAUGAAUCAAAACUUUCAACAACGGAUCUCUUGGUUCUG
Molecule: unclassified non-coding RNA, 234 nt
Filed under: plant metagenome
Description: partial contains small subunit ribosomal RNA, internal transcribed spacer 1, and 5.8S ribosomal RNA
Source: RNAcentral